This 603-nucleotide ribosomal RNA is filed under the name Enterobacter hormaechei subsp. xiangfangensis. RNAcentral's name for it is "bacterial SSU rRNA". It matches the Rfam family "Bacterial small subunit ribosomal RNA", at positions 874 to 1477 of the family's 1533-position model. The record is from RNAcentral. Lineage: Bacteria; Pseudomonadati; Pseudomonadota; Gammaproteobacteria; Enterobacterales; Enterobacteriaceae.
UGGGGAGUACGGCCGCAAGGUUAAAACUCAAAUGAAUUGCCGGGGGCCCGCACAAGCGGUGGAGCAUGUGGUUUAAUUCGAUGCAACGCGAAGAACCUUACCUACUCUUGACAUCCAGAGAACUUAGCAGAGAUGCUUUGGUGCCUUCGGGAACUCUGAGACAGGUGCUGCAUGGCUGUCGUCAGCUCGUGUUGUGAAAUGUUGGGUUAAGUCCCGCAACGAGCGCAACCCUUAUCCUUUGUUGCCAGCGGUUAGGCCGGGAACUCAAAGGAGACUGCCAGUGAUAAACUGGAGGAAGGUGGGGAUGACGUCAAGUCAUCAUGGCCCUUAGGAGUAGGGCUACACACGUGCUACAAUGGCGCAUACAAAGAGAAGCGACCUCGCGAGAGCAAGCGGACCUCAUAAAGUGCGUCGUAGUCCGGAUUGGAGUCUGCAACUCGACUCCAUGAAGUCGGAAUCGCUAGUAAUCGUGGAUCAGAAUGCCACGGUGAAUACGUUCCCGGGCCUUGUACACACCGCCCGUCACACCAUGGGAGUGGGUUGCAAAAGAAGUAGGUAGCUUAACCUUCGGGAGGGCGCUUACCACUUUGAGAUCAGCCUCGC